Long non-coding RNA from Vespa velutina, 849 nucleotides. RefSeq lists it as uncharacterized. The record is from RefSeq and is a predicted model, not a curated record. The transcript is spliced from 2 exons. Lineage: Eukaryota; Metazoa; Arthropoda; Insecta; Hymenoptera; Vespidae.
AAAAAAGAAGAAAGAAAAGAGAGGGUAAGAGAUAAGAGUUAUCGGAAAGUCGAAAGAUAAAGUGGAAUCACAAGGAGAGCUCUGUAAGGCAUUCAUAAAAAGACGUUACCGUCGUCUUCGUCGUAGUCGUUUAUCAAAAGAUCGUCCAGAGCAAUUGAACUUUGAUCGUAGUUUAAUUAACAAUGAAAUUACAAUCUACUCGUCGACUUUCUCGCCUAUUCACUUUUCUCGAAUAUUAGUGAAAGCUCCUCUAUAGGCUUGUCACACAGUUUGAGCUGUCAAACCACGUGGAAGAAGUACGAUUUACUUAAAAAAAGAGACAAAGUAAAGCAAGAGAGAGAGAGAGAAAUAGAGUGAGGAAGUAUAUGUGAGUGUGAGUGAGAUGGAACAACGAAUACGAUUAACGAUGGAAGACAUCGUCUCGUUCAAGCUUAUUUCUUGCCAAGCCAAAAAGGAUUUUGGCAAACUCUCCCACGUCUAUACUCGUUGUGUCCUCCUCCAAGGUUCCCAACUUUUUAACCCUCUUUACUCUCACCGAUGUCUCGAGCCAGAAAAUGCGUUCUUUGAUCUUCGAAAAGGAAAGAAGAAAUAAAAAGGAAAGAAAAAGGAAAGGAAACGAAAAAAAAAAAAAGAAGAGAAAAACAAAAAGAAAAGAAUUCGAUUUGUCCAGUCGAAAGUUCAUAUAUUUUAAGAAAUUUCAAGAGUUCUAUUAAUCAUUACCAAUGAGAUCUUUUACUUGAAAUUAUAAUCAAUUAUUUGAUCUAUCGAAAAUCGAAUUCAAUUUGAAGACGUUUGGAGUCCAUUUGUGUGAUAAUUUUGAUUUAAUUAAAUUUAAUCGUUAUUAUUAGA